UCAGCCCUUCCCUCCUCCGAGGUUCACCUCGAGAAAAGAAGCAACGCCGCCGCCGCCGCCGCCGCCGCCGUUCGGGGAGCGCACGAGCACGGCUGGAGUGCCUCGCCACCGCGAUAGCAGCACCCGGAACACACUGCUUCCACAUGAGAUGGACGGCAGCACAGAAUCCUCUUUGGAGUGCCAGGCACAUCAGACGUUCCUACGUAGUGGUAA
Mirounga angustirostris (Northern elephant seal) is the source of this 213-nucleotide long non-coding RNA. RefSeq lists it as uncharacterized. The transcript is spliced from 2 exons. The record is from RefSeq and is a predicted model, not a curated record. Lineage: Eukaryota; Metazoa; Chordata; Mammalia; Carnivora; Phocidae.